UCUUCCCUUUGGUGAGGAAUAACACGAGGAAACUUGUGCUAAUACCUCAUAAGUCUUUACGGAGAAAGCUUUAUGCGCCAAUGGAUGAGCCCGCACUUGAUUAGUUUGUUGGUGGGGUAAUGGCCUACCAAGACAAUGAUCAAUAGCUGAUUUGAGAGGAUGAUCAGCCACAUUGGGACUGAGACACGGCCCAAACUCCUACGGGAGGCAGCAGUAGGGAAUCUUGCACAAUGGAGGAAACUCUGAUGCAGCGAUGCCGCGUGAGUGAAGAAGGCCCUUGGGUUGUAAAGCUCUUUCGUCGGGGAAGAAAAUGACUGUACCCGA
Molecule: ribosomal RNA, 324 nt
Filed under: uncultured bacterium
Lineage: Bacteria
Description: bacterial SSU rRNA
Rfam family: Bacterial small subunit ribosomal RNA
Source: RNAcentral